Long non-coding RNA from Salarias fasciatus (jewelled blenny), 556 nucleotides. RefSeq lists it as uncharacterized. Lineage: Eukaryota; Metazoa; Chordata; Actinopteri; Blenniiformes; Blenniidae. The transcript has 3 exons. The record is from RefSeq and is a predicted model, not a curated record.
CUUCAGAAGAGGAAGAAUUCACCACAGGUAUGAGAAUAACAAUGAUACCACUGAUCAUCCGUGGUUCAGUUGUGGCUUUUUUUCUCAUUGUGACCUCAGUGAUGCUGGUGUUCUUCUGCAGAAAACAACAUCAAAGAAAAACAACCGGAUGCAGUGAGAAAACCUCCCAACAUGGACGGUGCAGAUGUGGGGCCGUACAGCACCUUCAUCCCCACUGAGGCUGGACUUUACUCAGUGGUCCGGCUUCACUGCUCACCGUCACUUCGAGAAUUCAGACAGGGCCACAAGAGAAAACCCCUCUGGGCGUUUUCAAAGUGGUCUCAACACAGAUAGAACAGAUCAAAACUAAGAGCUUUAUUAGACGAACAUUCAUACCAGCAGAUGGAUUAAAUAAAGAAAAGACCAGCAUGCUGUCAAGAGAUGAGUCCCUUCAAUACACACCUCACUGUAAUUGUCGGUCUGACCACCAGAGGGCAAUAUUUCACUGUGAAAUUAACCCUGUUUUGCCUCGCUUGGUGUGCUUGUCACACUGCACCGCACACUGCCUCUGGGGCCU